This 301-nucleotide ribosomal RNA is filed under the name uncultured bacterium. RNAcentral's name for it is "partial 16S ribosomal RNA". It matches the Rfam family "Bacterial small subunit ribosomal RNA", at positions 509 to 807 of the family's 1533-position model. The record is from RNAcentral.
CAGCAGCCGCGGUAAUACGGAGGGAGCUAGCGUUGUUCGGAAUUACUGGGCGUAAAGCGCGCGUAGGCGGUUACUCAAGUCAGAGGUGAAAGCCCGGGGCUCAACCCUGGAACUGCCUUUGAAACUAGGUGACUAGAAUCUUGGAGAGGUCAGUGGAAUUCCGAGUGUAGAGGUGAAAUUCGUAGAUAUUCGGAAGAACACCAGUGGCGAAGGCGACUGACUGGACAAGUAUUGACGCUGAGGUGCGAAAGCGUGGGGAGCAAACAGGAUUAGAUACCCCGGUAGUCCCUGUCUCUUAUAC